UACGAGUGGUGCAAGCGUUAUUCGGAAUUAUUGGGCGUAAAGGGCGCGUAGGUGGCGUGUUAAGUCAACUGUUAAAUUCUCCGGCCCAACUGGAGAUCAGCGGUAGAAACUAGCAUGCUAGAGGAUGAGAGAGAGAAGUGGAAUUCUCGGAGUAGCGGUAAAAUGCGUAGAUAUCGAGAGGAACACCAAUGGCGAAGGCAGCUUCUUGGCUCAUUCCUGACACUGAGGCGCGAAAGCGUGGGGAGCAAACAGG
RNAcentral lists this unclassified non-coding RNA (253 nucleotides) under uncultured bacterium. RNAcentral describes it as "contains 16S-23S intergenic spacer region". It matches the Rfam family "Bacterial small subunit ribosomal RNA", at positions 524 to 776 of the family's 1533-position model. The record is from RNAcentral.